Molecule: ribosomal RNA, 1428 nt
Filed under: Triticum aestivum (bread wheat)
Lineage: Eukaryota; Viridiplantae; Streptophyta; Magnoliopsida; Poales; Poaceae
Description: partial small subunit ribosomal RNA
Source: RNAcentral
AUGAGCGCGCCGGUCCGGCACCCUGACGCUGACAUCGCCAGCGCCCAUCCGUCACCUGACCUGCGUCAGCUGUCAAGCGGAGACAUUAGCAGCAUGUUUCGCACUCAGCUUAUCGCCGUCCGGUCGCCGUGCGCGCGCGGCCGGAAAGGCAGACCGGAGGAGAGGUGUGCCGCCGAGUCGGAAGCAUGUAAAGUAAUUCUCAUACUGCCAGGUGUCAAGAAAAUGGUCAUGCUAUCCAUCCUUACUUCAGUUCGUGACUCCUGGACCGGAACUACUCGCCCAACAUAUUCUAUUCCAGCAGCUGGCUACCGACAUUUAAACCCAUUAUGCGUCGCGCAAAAGAGAAAAACAAAGAAAGGGAUUGCCCAGCCACCAUUCCCCAUCCCUCGAUUCCUCUCCCUCUCCCUCGUCUUCCGCCGCCGCCACCACCGGCGACCUCCUCACAGCCGCUGCAACCACCCACGCCCUCCCCCACGUUUGACGCUGCCACCCCUUCUCUCACCUUCUCCUCACCAUCCACGACCCCCUCCCCUCGCCCUCGCCCCAAAUCGAGCAGCAGGCCCGGACGGACGCAUGCUCAGAUCCGGCAUGCCCACAACCUUGGUUCCGCUUCAGGACGCCAUGGACAUCCAGCCAUGGAUAAGCUCCUUCUCUUCCUUGUCGCACGAGAACAUCUCUCUAUCUCUCUUUGCCGAAUCAAGUUGGUGCUGCUGCAACCUCACCCCCUCACCCCAACAAGUAGCCCCAACCCUAGCCCUUCCUUCCAUGACGACUAGGAGGUGUAGCACAGUUUGUGUGGAUAUGAUGCGCGCACUAUUUUUUUUAAUUUCUCCUUUUGUCCUGCAGAUGUUAGCAAAGAAAGUUGAUACCUUAAUAACCAAUAAAAAGAUGAUGAUGCUAGAGGUUGCUGCCAUGGAGAAAGAAGUUACAGCUAUCCGUGUCGAUAAGGAUCAAGAAAUGAAAGACAUGCAGCUUGUCACUGUUUAUAGAUUUUCAAGCAUGGAACUGGUUCAGAGGAUGAACCUGUCAUACUCGUGGCGUACGUUGCUGGUGUACAUGCCGCUGCCGGCCAAGAAGAUCCAAGUUAACGGUCAAAAUGCAGUGGAUGAUGCAAGUCUUUUCUUAAUGGAUCAGGGGAAUGUAUUUUCUUUUCUCCUAAUAGGAUUAUUGCACUCACCAGUUGAGUACUCAGUUAAUCAGGUUUCUGAAUUGGUUCAGAUUCUCUACAGCUGGUGGUUCUUUGGGCGAGCAAGGGUAGCGCCGUCCUUCUCCUGCUCAAGACACUGCGUCAAUCUUGGUGGCACGCGCAACCACCGGCUGCACUACGACGAGCACGAAUUCUCGGUCGUUGAGACACCAGCAUUCAGCAAUGAGGAAGGCGGCUUGGUGGGGUCGGUGGAGGGUGUUGUCCAGUUGUGGUGGACGUGA